CUGGUUUUCCAUAGUCCUAUUGAUUCUUGGUUGGUCUUUUAAAGAUCUGGGUUGAUGUCUUGUGUGGGGGGAUUUGCUGUUUUUUCACCUUGCACGACUUUGAUGAGAGAGGCACCCCUUGUUGUGCGAUCGUUGAAUGGUUUCUCGUCUCUCUUAACUCUAAAAGGUUGAUGGGCAACAAGGUUGAAGCUUAAAUUUUGCCAGA
Molecule: unclassified non-coding RNA, 205 nt
Filed under: Hevea brasiliensis (rubber tree)
Lineage: Eukaryota; Viridiplantae; Streptophyta; Magnoliopsida; Malpighiales; Euphorbiaceae
Source: RNAcentral